AGAGCGAACGCUGGCGGCAGGCCUAAUACAUGCAAGUCGAACGGACCCUUCGGGGUUAGUGGCGGACGGGUGAGUAACACGUGGGAACGUGCCCUUUGGUUCGGAACAACUCAGGGAAACUUGAGCUAAUACCGGAUGUGCCCUUCGGGGGAAAGAUUUAUCGCCAUUGGAGCGGCCCGCGUCUGAUUAGCUAGUUGGUGGGGUAAAGGCCUACCAAGGCUACGAUCAGUAGCUGGUCUGAGAGGAUGAUCAGCCACACUGGGACUGAGACACGGCCCAGACUCCUACGGGAGGCAGCAGUAGGGAAUCUUGCGCAAUGGGCGAAAGCCUGACGCAGCCAUGCCGCGUGAAUGAUGAAGGUCUUAGGAUUGUAAAAUUCUUUCAGCGGGGACGAUAAUGACGGUACCCGCAGAAGACGCCCGGCUAACUUCGCGCCAGCAGCCGAC
RNAcentral lists this ribosomal RNA (446 nucleotides) under uncultured bacterium. RNAcentral's name for it is "SSU rRNA". It matches the Rfam family "Bacterial small subunit ribosomal RNA", at positions 26 to 518 of the family's 1533-position model. The record is from RNAcentral.